Molecule: ribosomal RNA, 296 nt
Filed under: uncultured Coriobacteriales bacterium
Lineage: Bacteria; Bacillati; Actinomycetota; Coriobacteriia; Coriobacteriales
Description: partial 16S ribosomal RNA
Source: RNAcentral
GGAGUAUGGACCGUGUCUCAGUUCCAUUGUGGGCCGUUCAUCCUCUCAGACCGGCUACCGAUCGUCGGUUUGGUGGGCUCUUACCCCGCCAACUGCCUAAUCGGACACAGGCCUCCUCGCAAAGCGAUAAAUCUUUAAUGCGGUGCUCAUGCGAACUCCGCACAACAUUCGGUAUUAGUCGUCCCUUUCGGAACGUUGUCCCCAACUUUGCGGGCAGAUUACCUGUGCUUUACUCACCCGUUCGCCACUAGCACCGAAGUGCCCGUUCGACUUGCAUGUGUUAAGCACGCCGCCAG